GAGUUUGAUCGUGGCUCAGAUUGAACGCUGGCGGCAUGCCUUACACAUGCAAGUCGAACGGCAGCACGGGAGCUUGCUCCUGGUGGCGAGUGGCGAACGGGUGAGUAAUGCAUCGGAACGUAUCCUGGAGUGGGGGAUAACGUAGCGAAAGUUACGCUAAUACCGCAUAUUCUGUGAGCAGGAAAGCGGGGGGACCUUCGGGCCUCGCGCUCUUGGAGCGGCCGAUGUCGGAUUAGCUAGUUGGUGAGGUAAAGGCUCACCAAGGCGACGAUCCGUAGCAGGUCUGAGAGGAUGAUCUGCCACACUGGAACUGAGACACGGUCCAGACUCCUACGGGAGGCAGCAGUGGGAAUUUUGGACAAUGGGGGCAACCCUGAUCCAGCCAUGCCGCGUGAGUGAAGAAGGCCUCGGUUGUAA
RNAcentral lists this ribosomal RNA (417 nucleotides) under bacterium enrichment culture clone ALO1_GLFRUDD03GNSBP. RNAcentral's name for it is "bacterial SSU rRNA". It matches the Rfam family "Bacterial small subunit ribosomal RNA", at positions 9 to 428 of the family's 1533-position model. The record is from RNAcentral.